UACGAAGGGUGCAAACGUUGCUCGGAAUCAUUGGGCGUAAAGCGCACGUAGGCGGCCUCAAAAGUCGGAUGUGAAAUCCCGUGGCUCAACCAUGGACGUGCAUUCGAAACUGCGAGGCUUGAGUAUGGAAGAGGGUCGCGGAAUUCCCGGUGUAGAGGUGAAAUUCGUAGAUAUCGGGAGGAACACCAGUGGCGAAGGCGGCGACCUGGGCCAAUACUGACGCUGAGGCGCGAAAGCGUGGGGAGCAAACAGG
This 253-nucleotide ribosomal RNA is filed under the name uncultured bacterium. RNAcentral describes it as "partial 16S ribosomal RNA". It matches the Rfam family "Bacterial small subunit ribosomal RNA", at positions 524 to 776 of the family's 1533-position model. The record is from RNAcentral.